Molecule: ribosomal RNA, 605 nt
Filed under: Chaetomium globosum
Lineage: Eukaryota; Fungi; Ascomycota; Sordariomycetes; Sordariales; Chaetomiaceae
Description: eukaryotic LSU rRNA
Rfam family: 5.8S ribosomal RNA (bases 231-384)
Source: RNAcentral
UGGAAGUAAAAAUCGUAACAAGGUCUCCGUUGGUGAACCAGCGGAGGGAUCAUUACAGAGUUGCAAAACUCCCUAAACCAUUGUGAACGUUACCUAUACCGUUGCUUCGGCGGGCGGCCCCGGGGUUUACCCCCCGGGCGCCCCUGGGCCCCACCGCGGGCGCCCGCCGGAGGUCACCAAACUCUUGAUAAUUUAUGGCCUCUCUGAGUCUUCUGUACUGAAUAAGUCAAAACUUUCAACAACGGAUCUCUUGGUUCUGGCAUCGAUGAAGAACGCAGCGAAAUGCGAUAAGUAAUGUGAAUUGCAGAAUUCAGUGAAUCAUCGAAUCUUUGAACGCACAUUGCGCCCGCCAGCAUUCUGGCGGGCAUGCCUGUUCGAGCGUCAUUUCAACCAUCAAGCCCCCGGGCUUGUGUUGGGGACCUGCGGCUGCCGCAGGCCCUGAAAAGCAGUGGCGGGCUCGCUGUCGCACCGAGCGUAGUAGCAUACAUCUCGCUCUGGUCGCGCCGCGGGUUCCGGCCGUUAAACCACCUUUUAACCCAAGGUUGACCUCGGAUCAGGUAGGAAGACCCGCUGAACUUAAGCAUAUCAAUAAGCCGGAGGAAACG